AUUUUGGACAAUGGGCGAAAGCCUGAUCCAGCAAUGCCGCGUGUGUGAAGAAGGCCUUCGGGUUGUAAAGCACUUUUGUCCGGAAAGAAAUCCUUGGCUCUAAUACAGUCGGGGGAUGACGGUACCGGCAGAAUAAGCACCGGCUAACUACGUGCCAGCAGCCGCGGUAAUACGUAGGGUGCAAGCGUUAAUCGGAAUUACUGGGCGUAAAGCGUGCGGAGGCGGUUUGCUAAGACCGAUGUGAAAUCCCCGGGCUCAACCUGGGAACUGCAUUGGUGACUGGCAGGGUAGAGUAUGGCAGAGGGGGGUAGAAUUCCACGUGUAGCAGUGAAAUGCGUAGAGAUGUGGAGGAAUACCGAUGGCGAAGGCAGCCCCCUGGGCCAAUACUGACGCUCAUGCACGAAAGCGUGGGGAGCAAAC
Molecule: ribosomal RNA, 420 nt
Filed under: uncultured bacterium
Lineage: Bacteria
Description: bacterial SSU rRNA
Rfam family: Bacterial small subunit ribosomal RNA
Source: RNAcentral